GUAACAAGGUCUCCGUUGGUGAACCAGCGGAGGGAUCAUUACUGAGUUACCGCUCUAUAACCCUUUGUGAACAUACCUAACUGUUGCUUCGGCGGGCAGGGGGUGCCGCCUGCGGACCCCCCUCCCGGCCCUGCCCUCACGGGCGGAGCGCCCGCCGGAGGAUACCAAACUCUAUUUUAACGACGUUUCUUCUGAGUGGCACAAGCAAAUAAUUAAAACUUUCAACAACGGAUCUCUUGGUUCUGGCAUCGAUGAAGAACGCAGCGAAAUGCGAUAAGUAAUGUGAAUUGCAGAAUUCAGUGAAUCAUCGAAUCUUUGAACGCACAUUGCGCCCGCCAGCAUUCUGGCGGGCAUGCCUGUUCGAGCGUCAUUUCAACCCUCAAGCUCUGCUUGGUGUUGGGGCCCUACGGUUGACGUAGGCCCUUAAAGGUAGUGGCGGACCCUCUCGGAGCCUCCUUUGCGUAGUAACUAACGUCUCGCACUGGGAUUCGGAGGGACUCUUGCCGUAAAACCCCCAAAUUUUUAAAGGUUGACCUCGGAUCAGGUAGGAAUACCCGCUGAACUUAAGCAUAUCAAUAG
Molecule: ribosomal RNA, 579 nt
Filed under: Colletotrichum coccodes
Lineage: Eukaryota; Fungi; Ascomycota; Sordariomycetes; Glomerellales; Glomerellaceae
Description: eukaryotic LSU rRNA
Rfam family: 5.8S ribosomal RNA (bases 217-370)
Source: RNAcentral